Molecule: ribosomal RNA, 332 nt
Filed under: uncultured bacterium
Lineage: Bacteria
Description: bacterial SSU rRNA
Rfam family: Bacterial small subunit ribosomal RNA
Source: RNAcentral
CGCGUAGGCGGCCCGGUAAGUCCGCUCUGAAAGUCCAGGGCUCAACCCUGGAAAGCGGGUGGAUACUGCCGGGCUAGAGUCCGGAAGAGGCGAGUGGAAUUCCUGGUGUAGCGGUGGAAUGCGCAGAUAUCAGGAGGAACACCAAUAGCGAAGGCAGCUCGCUGGGACGGUACUGACGCUGAGGCGCGAAAGCGUGGGGAGCAAACAGGAUUAGAUACCCUGGUAGUCCACGCCGUAAACGAUGGGCACUAGGUGUGGGAGGUGUCGACUCCUCCCGUGCCGACGCUAACGCAUUAAGUGCCCCGCCUGGGGAGUACGGCCGCAAGGCUAAA